This 30-nucleotide non-coding RNA is filed under the name Homo sapiens (human). Lineage: Eukaryota; Metazoa; Chordata; Mammalia; Primates; Hominidae. The record is from RNAcentral.
UUCUGGCUGAUUCGUGGUCUCACUGGCCUC